UAGCUCAGUUGGUAGAGCAUGGUGUUUGCAACGCCAGGGUUGUGGGAUCGAUUCCCAC
RNAcentral lists this transfer RNA (58 nucleotides) under Salmo salar (Atlantic salmon). It matches the Rfam family "tRNA", at positions 8 to 63 of the family's 71-position model. Rfam says of the family: Transfer RNA (tRNA) molecules are approximately 80 nucleotides in length. Their secondary structure includes four short double-helical elements and three loops (D, anti-codon, and T loops). Further hydrogen bonds mediate the characteristic L-shaped molecular structure. tRNAs have two regions of fundamental functional importance: the anti-codon, which is responsible for specific mRNA codon recognition, and the 3' end, to which the tRNAs corresponding amino acid is attached (by aminoacyl-tRNA synthetases). tRNAs cope with the degeneracy of the genetic code in two manners: having more than one tRNA (with a specific anti-codon) for a particular amino acid; and 'wobble' base-pairing, i.e. permitting non-standard base-pairing at the 3rd anti-codon position. RNAcentral also lists the same sequence under 2 other names. The record is from Rfam by way of RNAcentral. Lineage: Eukaryota; Metazoa; Chordata; Actinopteri; Salmoniformes; Salmonidae.